AGGAGUAGGAGUGCUUGGUGGGUUCAGCACCGGAACCGGAGGAAGAAUGGGUGUCACACCUGGAAUCGGAGGAAGAGUGGGUUUCACAACCGGAGGGACAGUGAUUGGAGGAACUGUAACUGGAGGCACUGUAACCGGAGGCAAUAUCACUGGUGGUUUCACAAUAGGAGGCACUAUGCCUGGUGGCUUCACAAUAGGAGGCACUAUGCCUGGUGGCUUCACGGGCUUGCCGGGCUUUUUGCUGGGCUUGUGUUUCUUUGGGACGGGCUUACCGCAGGUGCCGCAACCGAGAAUGGGGGCGGCAGAGGAGAGGAAGAGCAUGCAGAGGAAGAGGUAAGCAUGGAUCUUUGAGGACUCCAUGCUUAUGGUUUCUCUCUUUGUGAGAAAGAGAGUGUGAAGAAUGAGAGAGUGUAGUAGUGAGAAUAUUGUGAAGGGUGGAAGAGGGGAUAUAUAGGAAUAGUAACGAGGAGAAGCAAACAAAACAUCACGUGAAGAUGGGGCUAUAGCUACAAUCUAAUGCCAAAUUUUGCAAGCUGGCAAAAUUAGCCUUACAAUUACAAGUGUACAUGAUGAAUCAAUUCUUAAUGUAUUUACAACAAGAUUUUAGAUCAUGUCGACCCAGAAAAUAAUGUGCUGAUGGGGUUAAUUAUAUUACUGCAUACUGCAAAAAUCAUAGCUUCUUCGGCCUUCUGUGCUUGUUAGAGUAAAGUGUAAAUUUGAGGGAAUUGAAGACUAAAGUACUUAACAGAAAAAGUACCAUUACUUGGGGAACAAAUUUGGGUCUAAUUACUUAAUUCGAUUAAUUAAAGUAUGCUGUAUAGAAGAAACAACAGUGAUUUUUAGAUAUCCAAAAGUACUUUUUUUAACCUGUCUUUAAGUUACUAAAGAAGUAUUAGUAUAGAUAAUCUACUUUUGUGAUCUUAUAAUGAGCAUGCGUGGUCCAUGUUAUUUGUUGGACUGAUUGCAACUUGCAAGUCACAUUACCUAAAUUGGUCAAGGAUUUAGAUAUUUCAAAGCUUUCUGUAUAUAGAUUCAAUAUUUUUGUUACUAUUGACAAAGCACCUUAGAGCAUCUCCAAUAAGGAGUUCUUAGUUUAUGAUUUAACUCACUUUUUGUGAGUUACUAUCAUGUAAGACUUAAGAUAUUCAUAAGAUUCUAAUACACAUUUUACUCCGAUAGUUGUCCUCUUAUUUUACUUUUGGUCGGAUCUACAAUACCUAAAUAUAUAUAUAAAAUUGUUAUGUCUAGUAUCUCUUAGACAUAAAAGAAAGGCGACGUCUAGUGAACCUCUAGUAAGAGGUUUCAUACCAAUUGGGGAAGAGUUUUUUUAUGAAGGGUGUUCCAAUAGUAGCAGUGUAAUUAUUGGAACACCCUAUAUAUAUAUUAUAUAUACAUAUAUAUAUAUAUAUAUAGUAUUUACCUUAAAUAACAUGAUAAUAAUCUAUUAACUUACUUAAUACGGGUACCACACCCAAAAAAAUUCAGGGUACCACAUAAUUUACUUCUUUAUUUUUCAUUUCUUGUAUUAAAUGAGAGAGAAAUAAUGAUAAUUUUAUUAAAGUUCUCACUUUUCAACGUUGCUGAGCUAAGACACGAAUCUUAACUUUAGUUAACAUAAAAAGUACCAUUAAUUGGAGAUCAAAAUUGGGUCUAAUUACUUAAUUAUAUUUGAUUAAUUAAAGUAUGAUGUAUAGAAGAAACAAUCACUACAAAAAAACUGUCAUUUAGUGGGGGGUUUUUAAUGGGGGUUUCCGAAACCCCCGCAAAUGUCGUUAACUUUUUAAAGUUAAGGGGGGUUUUACUAAACCCCGUAAUUAACUCGCGGAUUUUUUCUAAUUUUCCCUCGUUUAUUUCAGAUCCCUUUCCUAAUUACCUCUCUCUCUGCAACUCUCACCAUGAAACCCUAGAUCUAGCAACCGAUCGUUGUUUCUCCACUCUCUUCUCUCACCGAUCGUUCACUCUCUUCUCUCACGGAUUUUUGUUUUCGAGCGCAGAAUCAGUUCUUGAAGAGCGAUUGAGUUCGAUUCACUGCUCAACUGUUUCAUGGCUUCACUGCUCAAAGGUUGGUUCAUUCUUCUUCAACCCUCUUUCUUCGUCAAUCGUUCCUUCAAUUUCAGCAUUUUCUGUUCUCUGAUUUGGUUUCGCUGCAUGCGUUUUCGAUUCUCUCUGCAACCUUCGCUGUUGCUGUUGUAACAGUUUCGAAUCAUUUGAAAAUUGUUUGAUACUAUCUAUGGAAUUUUUAGCUUGCGUUGGGAGUAGAUACCUAAUUUUCUUGGUAUUUUUAUCCUGGUUUCUGAGGCAUACACACUGUUCGGUUAAUUGAUUGCCUGAAUUUAUAAGCAUAUUACCAUUGAAGUUUUAAUGCCUAUAAACUGUUCGACAAAAUUCCUGACUGGUUUUCUCUCUUUCCCUUCAUGUCUCCGUUGAGUUUUUUUGAUGCGAAUCAAGUCAGUAUGAUGCUUGCUGAUGGUGUUCCGAGAACGCUGAGAAGCUGGAUUGAAAUGGGACUCCGGGUUUGAACAAUCUAACUUUCCUUAUGCUAUGUCGAUUUGAUGGUUUUUGUCACUCGUAAUGGAACAUGAAAAUCUGAAUAUGCUAUGUCGAUUUGUCGCUUGAAUGAUUGUCAAAUCUUAAAUAGCUGAAAUAUUAGACUUGUGAGUUAACAUGUUUGCUUUGAUGAAAUCUGACAUAUCCUAUUAAUACUAUUACUCACAAAAUAAUGAGUACUGAAACUUCCACAUGGUGGAUAAACAGGUUCUUAGCUAUGACUUUGUCUAUUGGAAGCUUGGGUACAUCCAUUGUUUCUUCAUGAUAUAGUUUCUACUUAAAUUUCAUCGAGUUGAUUUGUCUUUCAAAGCCAAUAGCUUAUCGUUGUGACCACCAGUGCAUAUGGCACCAUACAUGAAUUUCCAUGAUUCCGUAGUUUCUUUUAUAGCAUUAGUAAAAAAUGUUUUAAUGUUGCUUACUUGGAUUCAGGUUAUGUACACUUAACCCUUGACAUGCAAUUAUUAGUAAAAAAUGUGAAACUGAGGCUGCGAGUCAGGUUAACUUCAUUACCUUCAUAAAACCUAGAGCAUAAAUUUCAUAAACCUGUUACAUGGAUGAUAUCACUUUGCAUUUUCCAUGUAACAACUAUGCAAUAUACACUAUUAUAAUGAGAUUCCUGAUGAUGGAACCACUUUAAGCUUAGUGGGACAAAUUUAACUUUAUCCUCAUACUUGCCUAAAAAAUGACAAACAAAUCAGCACAUGUUAGAGUAUAUAUGAUUUGGCUUCAUUUCCUAAUAUUCUCUCAGUUCUCAUUGCUUUGUGAUAGUAUGUGUGACUGCUUGGACUUGUUAACAAAUAAGUUGGAUGAACACAGCCAGGAUGAGGAGACGAAUGGAAGAUUGUCUGGUAUUAGUAUAUUCUCUUCCAGUACUGAACCAGCCUAUAUGGAUACUGUGUAUCCUGUUUUCAGGUGCUACUUCACUUUGUUCCAGUUUGCAAUUGCCAGUCUUCUAUUCCACAUCCUAAGUCCCUAACUCUGACCAAAGUACUACAUGUCAUUUAUAAAAGCGUUCUGCAAUUUAAAAACUGUUUUUAGUUCAAAUCGAUAAAUUAAAAAAAAAGUUUAAAAUGAACUCUUACUAAUUUUUCAGAUUAUAGAUGCCCUGAAAGUAUUGCUCAUGUGCCUAGUUAAAAAAUGAGAUAGACACUUUUCAUCAGCAAAUUAUAAAAUCUUACCUUAUACUAAUGUGUUAGUCUAGUGUGUAUGGAUUUCUAUGUAACUGAAUGAUGACAUCACCAUAAAUUUUUGUUAUGCUGAGUUAUCAAUUUGUUAGAGGCAGUUAGAUGGUUAGCUACUGUUGAAAACUUUAUAUAUGUUGUAAAUCACAGUGUUAAUUCAAGAGAAGAGUUCAUUCAGUUCACUCUAAACUUCUCUCUCUCUCUCUCUCUCUCUCUCUCUAUUUACUAUCUCACUAUCUAAUUCAUCUUGGAAGGAAUUGGAUGAGGGGCUCAUGAAGGUUAAGGAGAUGGAGAUGAAAGACUUUGAGAUGUUAGCCGAUAAGUUCAACGACCUACUACUUUCCUUGAUACAACAGACCAACGAUCUUAGUGGGAUAUGCCGCAAACACCGGUGAAGUCACCGGUUUUCCAAGUAUGGUUUUUACGACUAGUUUUCACAUAUCAGUUUCUGAAGAAUUAAUUAAUGGGUUAAUAACUCAUUCAAUAUUUCUUUUUCAUGUAUCUAGGGGUUGUGAAUGAAUGGAGAUAUGCUUAAGCUAGAUGGAUCGAAAGAGGAAACGAAAUGAAGUAUUCAAACUGCUGCUGCUGUAUUUUGGAAGAAACUCUCAGCAAAGUAUUUAUCUAACUCUUGUCUAUUCUGUCAAUAUAUGUAGGUAUUUAUUGGUUAACUUAGAUGAACUUGGUUUGCACAUGGUAGUAUAACAAAGAAAUGCUCUCUUACUGAGGUUCUGUACUUUUGCACAUUUAGUUGAUUUUGAGUAUUAUUACUAUCACCAAUUAGUUAAGUUGGUUGUCUAUCAUGAAGCUUGCAGACUUUUCCUAGAAGUAAGUAAGUAGACUUCUAGACCAUUCUAUGUUUCAAUUUUCAUGAGGGAUGAUAAGUUAUCUAGAGAUGCUAGAGGUCCCUAAUGACAUAGAAACAGUGUAAAUAAUCUCUUACAUUUAAGGGAGGUUGAAAACUCCCGUUAAAAAAUGCUUGCAGAUAAGGGAGGUUUAAAACCCCCGCUAAAAACCCCCGCUAAAUUUAUAUGCAUGUACCAGGGUUUGCUGAGAAACCCCGUUAAUGAUUUGUGGGGAGUGUAACUUCGGGAUUUUUCAAAACCCCCGCUAAGUAACUCGCGGGGGUUGAAAACCCCCACUAAAGGCAAAAAAACCCCCGCUAAAUAACGUUUUUUUUGUAGUGAAUAGUGACUGUUAGAUAUUCAAAAGUACUUUUUUUAAUCUGUCUUUUAGUUAUUAAUUAAAGAUUUGUAUUAUUUUAGUUAAUCUAGUUUCGUGAUCUUAUAAUGAGCAUGUGUGUGGUCCAUAUUUGUUGGGUUGAGUCUUAGAUUGCCGAAAGAUUUAGAGAUUCAAUGUUAUAAGUGGACUUAUAUCCUAGUUAUUGACAAAGCACCUUAAAACACAAGUUUAUAUGUGUUUUCUAUUUGUUUUAUGCUAUUGUUCUAAAAUAGUGAUGCGUAUGUUAAAUAUUUCUUUUGAAAAGUGCUAUGUAAUCAGGUUAUGUGGGGUGGUUGAGAGUGAAGUUCAUGUGUUAUAAAAAUUUACAUAGGUUUAGGUAUGUACCUGAUUGUGGGUUUUGACACAACAACGGAAAUUUUUCUCCGAUUUUAGAGUUUUUCAUGUUAUAUAUGUAUUCUCGUGAUGUGAUUGUAUUUUUGUUUUAAUUCCUUACAACAUGCUUUUUACCAAACAUUGGUAUUAAAGCUAAUGGUGUUACCCUAGUGAUUGACUUAUUUUAUCGAAAGUCUUUCUCAUAAAAAGGUGGCCACGCCAUAUUAAGUUGAUUUGUGGAGAGCCACAAUAGUACGUGAAGACUUCCACUUGAGAUACAUUGAAAAAAAAGGAAAGUAUUUAAAUAAGUGAGAUGACGCAUACACCUGAUACCUUAAAAUUUUAGAUGAAAAUGUAAUGUCUAAUUCACUUAUACUAUUCACUCUUUAUCUAAUAUGAAACUCUCGUCUAAAGUUCGAGUUUUUAGGUUAGCCUAAGGUCAAACCAUAUAGGCCCACUCGAAGUCAUUGCCAUGAUGCUCAUUGGUAAAAGUUCAAAGUACUCAAGGUUGAGAGAUACAAGCCCA
RNAcentral lists this long non-coding RNA (5805 nucleotides) under Lotus japonicus. RNAcentral describes it as "long non-coding RNA (LJAP_LNC001860)". The record is from RNAcentral. Lineage: Eukaryota; Viridiplantae; Streptophyta; Magnoliopsida; Fabales; Fabaceae.